AGAGUUUGAUCCUGGCUCAGGAUGAACGCUAGCGGCAGGCUUAACACAUGCAAGUCGAGGGGUAACAGGGGAGCUUGCUCCCGCUGACGACCGGCAAACGGGUGCGGAACACGUACGCAACUUACCCUUAUCAUGGGGAUAGCCCGGAGAAAUCCGGAUUAAUACCCGAUAGUAUAAUUUAGAGGCAUCUUUAGAUUAUUAAAGAAUUUUGGAUAGGGAUGGGCGUGCGUAAGAUUAGGUAGUUGGCGGGGUAACGGCCCACCAAGCCAGCGAUCUUUAGCUGAUGUGAGAGCAUGAUCAGCCACACGGGCACUGAGACACGGGCCCGACUCCUACGGGAGGCAGCAGUGAGGAAUAUUGGUCAAUGGACGAAAGUCUGAACCAGCCAUGCCGCGUGAAGGAUGAAGGCGUUCUGCGUUGUAAACUUCUUUUAUCAGGGAAGGAACCACUGAUUUCUAUCGGUGUUGACGGUACCUGAGGAAUAAGCACCGGCUAACUCCGUGCCAGCCGCCGCGGUAAUAC
This 522-nucleotide ribosomal RNA is filed under the name uncultured bacterium. RNAcentral describes it as "bacterial SSU rRNA". It matches the Rfam family "Bacterial small subunit ribosomal RNA", at positions 8 to 526 of the family's 1533-position model. The record is from RNAcentral.